This 59-nucleotide transfer RNA is filed under the name Bradyrhizobium barranii subsp. barranii. Its description in RNAcentral is "Bradyrhizobium sp. 144S4 tRNA-OTHER". It matches the Rfam family "tRNA". From Rfam's summary of the family: Transfer RNA (tRNA) molecules are approximately 80 nucleotides in length. Their secondary structure includes four short double-helical elements and three loops (D, anti-codon, and T loops). The record is from RNAcentral. Lineage: Bacteria; Pseudomonadati; Pseudomonadota; Alphaproteobacteria; Hyphomicrobiales; Nitrobacteraceae.
GGAGUUUGGUAGAGCAGAUGACUGUUACUCAUCCUGUCGCGGGUUCGAAUCCCGCUCCA